This 831-nucleotide long non-coding RNA is filed under the name Trifolium pratense (red clover). Its description in RNAcentral is "long non-coding RNA (TPRA_LNC008732)". Lineage: Eukaryota; Viridiplantae; Streptophyta; Magnoliopsida; Fabales; Fabaceae. The record is from RNAcentral.
UCUUUUAUCUUUAUAACAUUAUUAUACAAAUUUACCUUUAUAUUAAAUGUAAGUUGGAUGUGGACAUUGUCCUGAUGGACUCAAAUUCUUUAUUAUAAAGAAAAUCAAAUAUUUAUACCCAAGAGACAAUCUUAAUUACUAAUUUGAAAUAGCAAAAACUCUACUUUUUAGAUUCAUUCAAUAACAGAUAUAUUUGGUCUAUAAUAUAGGUCAGAUACAUUUGUUAUUUAAUGAAUCUAAAAAGUUAAUUUUUGCUUAUAAUUAAGAAUGAAUAAAGUAUAUUUUACCUUUAAAAAGACUACCUUAAGCAAUCUCGACCGUCAAAAAUAAGUAACUGGGUAGCAUAUAUGCUUCCUUUAUGUGACAUAUAAAAAGAAAAAGGGCUGAGUUGGUCAUCUUUGUUUCACAUUGUUAAUUUGUAGUAUUGAUUAAUUAAUUGAUUGGUUCCAUGUGAAAGGGAAUUAGAAUAUAUCUUACGUUUGUACCAAAAAAAGAAGAAUAUAUCUUACGUUUCUUUUUCUUCCAAAAUUUAGACGGUGAAAGGGAUUUUCUUCUUGAAUGUUACAUGAGUGGAGGUCCUUUUAUUUCCAUCUCCAUAUCAUAAAUUAUUGGCGCCAUAUUUGGGGAAGGGAUGGCCCUGCUUCUUUAAUUUUUUUUUAAUGUUACUUUUUCUUCUUUUUAGAUAAGUAUAACUUCAUUUUAUUUUCAUUUUCAUUAUUAUAAUGACCUCAUUAUUUUUCUAUAUCUUGCAUACAUAUGGACAUUAUUCUUUGGUCCCACGUGGCCAAUGUUUUGCGUUUGGUGUUCAUAUUAAGAGAAUCCAUGAUAUCA